Morus notabilis is the source of this 982-nucleotide long non-coding RNA. RefSeq lists it as uncharacterized. NCBI's taxonomy places the organism in Eukaryota, Viridiplantae, Streptophyta, Magnoliopsida, Rosales, Moraceae. The transcript has 2 exons. The record is from RefSeq and is a predicted model, not a curated record.
AGCUCCCUCUCUCUCCCUCACUAGGCUCUCUCUCUCCUCCUCUCCCUCUCAAAUACGUCUCUCUCUCAGGAAACUAAGGGAAAAAUUUAGUUCUUUGUAUAAAUAAACUAGAGAACAAAGGAGUUUUGGAGGAUUUUCAAGAGUUUUCAUCACCAAAUGAAAGAUUGAGUUGUAAGAUCGGACGUUGAAGCUUCGAAGAUAGUCAAGACUAGGCCAACGAGAAGAUUAGGCCAACGAGAAGGAGCCGUAGAAUUAAUAUCCAAGAGAUAAGAUAUUCUUGACCAUAUCUUUGAUAGCCCUGUUUUAAAUGUUACUUAAAAUGAUGUUUUCUAGACAAAACAGGUUUGAUAAAAUAAAGCAAUUUUGAGGAAAUAACAUGAAUUAUGCUAUUGAACUUAUAUUACGUUGAAUUGAGGUUUAAAGGUUAUACUUUCUUAAAAUAAGAUAUUUUGAGAAAUAAUAAAAUGCAUGAUGGUCUAGAGAUUGGGAUAUAUAAAUCAUAUCUUUAGGGGCAGGUCUUGAAAACCCGUACAGGCCACUCCAUAGUGUGGGUGGUGAUAUCAAGGCUUUGUGAUAAUGUGUGUAAUCUAUCAUAUUCUUAUGAAUUGCCUAUUAGCAUAUGAAACUUGAAUUUAUGGAUUACUUUCCUUAUUAUUUAUACAGUUUUAUGGAGUUAUAUCCUACUGGGCCUUUCGCUCACUGUUUAUAUUGUUUUCAAUGUUUUAAACUCCUUCCCGCCGACGCUUGAAGCAGUGCCGAGUAGAUAGAGACUACCGGUAAUGCUAGCUCGAACUCAAGGAGUGAAGAAGUUUUACCCACUUCCAUCCUUACUAUAUGUUUCUAAGGCAUGUAUAAUUCUAUGGUUUGUAACCUUAAAACUAUGGUUGAUGUCAAUACCUUAUUUCUCCCCGUUUUGUUUAUGUAUGCUACAAUAUGAAUUUUCUGUGGGGAAUCCUGAUAUGAUGCCAAAAUUUUGAACCUA